GUGAGGAAUAUUGCGCAAUGGAGGCAACUCUGACGCAGCCAUGCCGCGUGCAGGAAGAAGGCGCUACGCGUUGUAAACUGCUUUUAACCGGGAAGAAACCCCAGGACGUGUCCUGGGUUGACGGUACCGGAGGAAUAAGCACCGGCUAACUUCGUGCCAGCAGCCGCGGUAAUACGAAGGGUGCAAGCGUUAUCCGGAUUCAUUGGGUUUAAAGGGUGCGUAGGCGGAGCGUUAAGUCAGUGGUGAAGUCCUGCAGCUUAACUGAAGACUUGCCAUUGAUACUGGCGCUCUUGAGUGCGCGUGAAGUGGGCGGAAUGUGCCGUGUAGCGGUGAAAUGCUUAGAUAUGGCACAGAACACCAAUUGCGAAGGCAGCUCACUAAGGCGAUACUGACGCUGAGGCACGAAAGCGUGGGGAUCGAACAGGAUUAGAUACCCUAGUAGUCC
This 445-nucleotide ribosomal RNA is filed under the name uncultured bacterium. RNAcentral's name for it is "partial 16S ribosomal RNA". It matches the Rfam family "Bacterial small subunit ribosomal RNA", at positions 354 to 796 of the family's 1533-position model. The record is from RNAcentral.